Molecule: ribosomal RNA, 497 nt
Filed under: uncultured bacterium
Lineage: Bacteria
Description: partial 16S ribosomal RNA
Rfam family: Bacterial small subunit ribosomal RNA
Source: RNAcentral
GAUGAACGCUGGCGGCGUGCCUAAUACAUGCAAGUAGAACGCUGAAGGAAGGAGCUUGCUCUUUCCGGAUGAGUUGCGAACGGGUGAGUAACGCGUAGGUAACCUGCCUGGUAGCGGGGGAUAACUAUUGGAAACGAUAGCUAAUACCGCAUAACAGUAGAUGUUGCAUGAUAUCUACUUAAAAGGUGCAAUUGCACCACUACCAGAUGGACCUGCGUUGUAUUAGCUAGUUGGUGAGGUAACGGCUCACCAAGGCGGCGAUACAUAGCCGACCUGAGAGGGUGGUCGGCCACCCUGGGACUGGGACACGGCCCAGGCUCCUGCGGGAGGCAGCAGUAGGGAAUCUUCGGCAAUGGACGGAAGUCUUGCCGAGCAACGCCGCGUGAGUGAAGAAGGUUUUCGGAUCGGAAAGCUCUGUUGUAAGUGAAGAACGAGUGUGAGAGUGGAAGGUUCACACUGUGACGGUAUCUUACCAGAAAGGGCCGGCUAACUACGUG